CGUGCUGCAGGUGAAGGUGCAGCCAGUGAAAGCGAGCCGUCCGAUAGCGACGACACUUUCAGAUGCCUCUGCACUCGCUGCAGUCCAGUGGAACCCGAUGAACGCCGGUGCUGCAGUUCUGUUGAUCGGGUGUCGGCUGUCUGUGAGGGUGCCGGGGUCAAUUGUAUCACCGAUCACCCACUCUUCAAUGACAUUUGUCUGCGGAGGGAGCUCCUGGUUGUUUAUGCACCAGUGUUUUGCCGCGACGACCGUCGCAUGCGUGUUCUCGAGCCAUCUGACAAUAGACGUCUCCGAUACAGCGCGUAUUGCGCGUUCACAACAUGGAUUCAUGGAUACCUUGGGAUAAGAAACCGAAGGCAGAUU
This is a long non-coding RNA of Ornithodoros turicata, 363 nucleotides long. RefSeq lists it as uncharacterized. The record is from RefSeq and is a predicted model, not a curated record. Lineage: Eukaryota; Metazoa; Arthropoda; Arachnida; Ixodida; Argasidae. The transcript has 3 exons.